AGGGCGUUGUUUGGCUGUUGCAGUCACGAAGAGAGUAUUUCCUGGUUGUUUUUCUAAUUCAAAUCACCUUGUUAAGCUUAUUUGGCUACGAUUGUCAUGCCAGAGACGGUCGAUGAGGUAGCAGUGGAUAAGAUCGGGGUGGUCCAGGAGUUCGAGGAUGUGUUUCAGUCGUUAAAGGGGUUACCACCAUCUCGGUCUGAUCCCUUCACGAUUGAGUUGGAGCCCGGGACAACACCGUUGUCUAAGGCUCCGUACCGGAAGGCUCCAGCAGAGAUGGCUGAGCUGAAAAAACAGUUGGAGGAUCUGCUGGGCAAGGGUUUCAUCCGUCCUAGUGUUUCACCGUGGGAGCAAUGGUGUUAUUCGUUAAGAAGAAGGAUGAGAGUUUCCGGCUGUGUAUCGAUUACCGGGGACUUAACCGAGUCACGGUGAAGAACAAGUAUCCUUUGCCGCGGAUUGACGAGUUGUUGGACCAGUUGAGGGGAGCUACGUGGUUCUCUAAAAUUGAUUUGGCGUCGGGUCACCAUCAGAUUCCUAUCGACGAGGCGGAUAUCCGUAAAACGGCGUUCAGGACGAGGUAUGGGCAUUAUGAGUUUGUGGUGAUGCCUUUCGGGUUGACUAAUGCACCAGCGGCGUUCAUGAGGCUGAUGAACAGCGUGUUCCAGGCGUUUCUGGAUGAGUUUGUUAUCAUCUUCAUUGAUGAUAUCCUGGUGUAUUCUAAGAGUCCUGAGGAGCACGAGGUACACUUGCGGGCAGUGUUGGAGAAGCUGCGGGAGCAGAAGCUGUAUGCUAAGCUGAGCAAGUGCAGUUUCUGGCAGAGAAAGAUGGAUUUUCUGUGUCAUAUCGUGUCUGCAGAGGGAGUUUCUGUGGAUGCAGAGAAGAUUGAGGCUAUCAGAGAUUGGCCUAGACCGCAGAAUGCCACAGAGAUACGUAGUUUUCUAGGAUUGGCGGGUUACUACAGACGGUUUGUGAAGGGCUUUGCCAGUACAGCUCAGCCAAUGACCAAGCUGACGGGGAAGGAUGUUCUUUUUGUGUGGACUCCUGAGUGUGAGCAGGGUUUCGCUCAACUCAAGGAGAUGUUGACGAGUACGCCAGUUUUGGCUUUACCGGAGCAGGGAGAGCCGUAUGUGGUGUACACGGACGUUUCGGGAGUUGGUUUGGGUUGUGUGUUGAUGCAGUAGGGUAAGGUGAUCGCCUAUGCUUCGCGGCAGUUGCGGAAGCAUGAGGGCAACUACCCUACUCAUGAUUUGGAGAUGGCAGCGGUGGUCUUUGCUCUGAAAAUUUGGAGAUUUUAUAUGUAUGGAGCGAAGGUUCAGGUGUUUACAGAUCAUAAGAGUCUGAUGUAUAUAUUCACGCAGCCUGAGUUGAACUUGAGGCAGAGGCGCUGGAUGGAGUUGGUUGCAGACUAUGAUCUGGAGAUAGCUUACCAUCCCGGUAAGGCUAAUCUGGUUGCAGAUGCUCUGAGCCGGAAGCGAGCGGCUUCAGCUCGAGGGCAGGAUAUGGAAACCUUGGUGGGAGAACNNNNNNNNNNNNNNNNNNNNNNNNNNNNNNNNNNNNNNNNNNNNNNNNNNNNNNNNNNNNNNNNNNNNNNNNNNNNNNNNNNNNNNNNNNNNNNNNNNNNGGUUGUGUGCUAUUUCUCAGGAGCCACUAGGGUUAGAAGCAGCUAACCGAGUAGACCUUCUGACCAGAGUUCGAGCGGCUCAGGAGAAGGAUGCAGGGCUGGUUAAUGCUUCUAAGGAUACUGAGUCAGAGUAUCAGGUUGCAGCCAAUGGGACUAUCCUUGUGUAUGGGCGAGUUUGUGUGCCCAAGGAUGAGGAGUUGAGACGAGAGAUCUUGAGUGAGGCUCAUGCGAGUAGGUUCUCUAUUCAUCCAGGAGCGACCAAGAUGUACCGAGAUCUGAAGCGGUAUUAUCAUUGGGUCGGGAUGAAGAGGGACGUAGCUAAAUGGGUCUCUGAGUGCGAUGUAUGUCAGCUAGUGAAGGCUGAGCAUCAGGUGCCGAGUGGAUUAUUGCGGAGUCUCCCUAUUCCGGAGUGGAAAUGGGACAUGAUCACGAUGGAUUUCGUGGUAGGGUUGCCAAUGUCUCGGUUCAAGGAUGCCAUUUGGGUCAUUGUAGACCGUUUGACUAAGUCUACACAUUUCUUGGCUAUCAAGAAAACCGAUGGAGCGGCAGUGCUAGCUAAGAAGUAUGUGCAGGAGAUUGUGAGACUUCAUGGAGUACCAGCCAGUAUUGUGUCAGACCGGGAUUCGAAGUUCACUUCGCCGUUGUGGAAGGCUUUCCAGAAGGAGAUGGGUACUAAGGUGCAUUUGAGCACGGCUUACCACCCUCAGACAGACGGGCAGUCUGAGCGGACCAUUCAAACACUUGAGGAUUUGUUGAGGAUGUGUGUGUUAGACUGGGGUGGUCAGUGGGCAGAUCACUUGAGCUUGGUGGAGUUUGCUUAUAAUAAUAGCUACCAGGCGAGUAUUGGGAUGGCUCCUUAUGAGGCGUUGUAUGGGAGGCCAUGUCGGACACCUCUAUGCUGGACUCAAGUGGGGGAGAGGAGCAUUUACGGUGCGGAUUUGGUUCAGGAGACUUCAGAGAAGAUUCGGGUUCUGAAGCUGAACAUGAAAGAGGCGCAGGAUCGGCAAAAGUGUUAUGCUGAUAAGAGGCGUAAGGAGUUGGAGUUUGAGGUUGGAGAUAUGGUGUAUCUCAAGAUGGCGAUGUUGCGUGGUCCUAACAGGUCCCUUACCGAGACUAAGCUGAGUCCGAGGUUUAUAGGUCCUUUCAGGAUUGUGGAGCGGGUUGGACCGGUGGCUUAUCGGUUGGAGUUACCUGAGGUAAUGCAUGCAUUUCAUAAGGUAUUCCACGUGUCGAUGCUGAGGAAGUUUCUUCACAAGGAUGAUGAGGUGUUGGCUACGAUCCCGACAGAUCUUCAGCCUACCAUGACCUUGGAGGCGAAGCCACUGAGGGUUCUCGAGAGGCGGGUAAAGGAACUUCGACGUAAGAAGAUUCCUUUGAUGAGAGUCCAGUGGGACUGUGAUGGAGUCUUGGAGGAGACUUGGGAGCCAGUGGCCAGGAUGAAGGCAAGGUUCCGAAAGUGGUUUGACAAGCAGGUCGAGGAGUAGACCGUUGGCUUGUUUUGUUUUGAGUUUUGUUUUGGUUGUAUCUCUUUUGUAUUUUCAUUUUUGGUGUAAUGAUUAUGACAUUAGAGAUUAAUAAGAUGAGUAUUUCUUGGAUUUGACUUGUUGUUUCAUGUGUAAGAAAAAUAUGUGCGAGUUUCUAAAAAUAGAAAGUGUCGGGUUUGACGGUUCUAUUUUUGGAAAGUCUCGGGGUGGUGGUUAGUAUAGCAUUGCGAUGCUAUAAGUGGACCACGGGAGGUAUAUCUGAUCGAGAGAUAUGCUCGGAGGCGUUUAGACUUAUUUGCUCGGAUAUGAUGUGAUGGCCUCGGAUGACGAUUUGAGUGCACGCUUGAGGGUGACGACCCGAGAGCGAGCGUGAGACUUCCCGGAUACCGUAGCUAGAAGGCGGGUGGCCUAAUAGUGAGCCGGUAUGAGUUGAGGGUUGCGACCUGAGAGCGGGGAGAGUGGUGAGACUUCCUGGAUACCGUAGUAUAAGGCAGAGGCCUGAGGACGAGCCGGUAUGAUUCAUGGAUUGCGACCUGUGGACGGGGGAAGUGGGUGAGUAUGAGCAAAUAGGGUCUAGAACGUGAGUAUAUUGAUUAGAUAGGGGCCUCGGAGAGGUCAGUGGUGUACUGACGGACAUGUUGAAGGAUUCGAGGACGAAUCCAUGUUAGUGGGGGAGAAUUGUAACGCCCGUGUUCUGAAAAUUAAUAGGAGACUUGAAUGGGUAUAAGAAUUAGGGUGGAGUCGGUUUAAUUCCGGUUGAUUUCCUAAACUGGUCGAUUUGUUUAACUGAACCAAAGGAGGUUUAAUUAAAGUCGGUUUAAUUAAAGUCGGUUUAGGUAAAUUCUGGUUUAAUCAGAAUAAAACCAAAAACCCUAGUUUUAUAAAGAACGCUUCUUCUCUAUUUUCUUUUGUGGCUGUUGUUUCUGAGAGUUGAGUUGAGAAAAGGAGAAGGAGAAGUUUACUUGUGAAAAGGAGAGUGUUAGCUUUGCUUUGGUGUUUAAGGCAAGAGAAGCAGAUUCGUCACGUCCUGGUAGAAUAGAGUUACACGUAUCAAAUCUUAUCGAAAGGUAAUGAAUUUUGGUAGGUUUGUUCUUAAGGCGUGUACGUUGAUUCUCCUUUUUACAGAAGUGAAUUCGGAUUAAUACUCGGUGAGUUAUAUGCAGUUUGGUGAGACGCGUUUUCUCUGUUGCGAACUGGGAUCAGCGGAGUUUGUAAGUGCGAUCGUGGUUUCAUCGUUUCUCCGAUCGGCACCAAAUUUUGGGGGGGCUUCGUGACGUCUGGAUCUUGCUUUUCACCGUAGGGAUUAAGAAGUUAACGGUUAUUUUAUGUUCUAGGGGUUCGUUUCUGCGGCUGUAGUUUUUUCGCUGUUUCUGUCCUUUUGGUUCUUAGAGAUUUGUGUUGUGUGGUUUGUUGUAGGGCGUUUUUUGGCUGUUGCAGUCACGAAGAGAGUAUUUCCUGGUUGUUUUUGUAAUUCAAAUCACCUUGUUAAGGUGAGUGCGUGACCAUGAGCUUAUCUAAGCGAUUGGGAUUGAGUGACUUGUUGUGUGAUGAUUUGUAGGUGAACUGGAUGUGUUAUUGGAUGUUUAGCUUGCUGGAUGGUUUAUUUUUGUUAUAUAUGUGGGUGUUAUCUCAUUGCUUGUGUGUAUAGCUCGUAGAUGGGAGGAUCGCCCUCACUAAGUAUUUAUGAAAUACUUAUGCAUCUCUUUCUUUGAUGCAGGUAAAAGCAAAGUGUGAUCCGUGGAAUCAUGGCGAGGAGAGGAGGAUGAUCUAGGCACUCAUUGGUGUUUUAGAUUAUUGUUGGAUUUGUUAGGGUGUUAGAAUGGAAUUUAGAAACAUGUUAGGAUGAUCAUGUUUUGGAAUAAUGUUUGGUUGAACUUGUUGGUUUACUUUAAUGAGAUUGCUUGGUUUAAUUGAUUUAAAUUAUUAUGGCCGGUUUAGCUGGUUCGAAUUAAUUGGGUUAAUCCGGUUGCAUGUUUAAAAGAAAAAAAAGGGAUGGGUUCUUUCAAUGUUUAACUGCAAAGAACACUAUAAUAAACGAUAUUAAUG
This 5148-nucleotide long non-coding RNA is filed under the name Capsella rubella. RNAcentral's name for it is "long non-coding RNA (CRUB_LNC001781)". Lineage: Eukaryota; Viridiplantae; Streptophyta; Magnoliopsida; Brassicales; Brassicaceae. The record is from RNAcentral.